ACCGCCCGUCACACCAUGAGAGUCGAUAACACUCGAAGCCUGUAGUCUAACAGCAAUGAGGACGCAGUCGAAGGUGGGNUUAAAAAAAAGUAAUUAGGGCGAAGUCGUAACAAGGUAGC
This 119-nucleotide ribosomal RNA is filed under the name uncultured bacterium. RNAcentral's name for it is "partial 16S ribosomal RNA". It matches the Rfam family "Bacterial small subunit ribosomal RNA", at positions 1389 to 1500 of the family's 1533-position model. The record is from RNAcentral.